This 379-nucleotide ribosomal RNA is filed under the name Vibrio sp. Its description in RNAcentral is "bacterial SSU rRNA". It matches the Rfam family "Bacterial small subunit ribosomal RNA", at positions 966 to 1344 of the family's 1533-position model. Lineage: Bacteria; Pseudomonadati; Pseudomonadota; Gammaproteobacteria; Vibrionales; Vibrionaceae. The record is from RNAcentral.
GAACCUUACCUACUCUUGACAUCCAGAGAAUCCAGCGGAGACGCAGGUGUGCCUUCGGGAACUCUGAGACAGGUGCUGCAUGGCUGUCGUCAGCUCGUGUUGUGAAAUGUUGGGUUAAGUCCCGCAACGAGCGCAACCCUUAUCCUUGUUUGCCAGCGAGUCAUGUCGGGAACUCCAGGGAGACUGCCGGUGAUAAACCGGAGGAAGGUGGGGACGACGUCAAGUCAUCAUGGCCCUUACGAGUAGGGCUACACACGUGCUACAAUGGCGCAUACAGAGGGCAGCAAGCUAGCGAUAGUGAGCGAAUCCCAAAAAGUGCGUCGUAGUCCGGAUUGGAGUCUGCAACUCGACUCCAUGAAGUCGGAAUCGCUAGUAAUCG